Molecule: ribosomal RNA, 566 nt
Filed under: Mobula japanica (spinetail devil ray)
Lineage: Eukaryota; Metazoa; Chordata; Chondrichthyes; Myliobatiformes; Myliobatidae
Description: partial 12S ribosomal RNA
Rfam family: Bacterial small subunit ribosomal RNA (bases 1-456)
Source: RNAcentral
GGGCUUCUAAACUUGCUCAUUAUGAUCUACCUUAAUAACCGCCUGAGUACUACAAGCGCUAGCAUUUAAACCCAAAGGACUUGGCGGUGCUCCAAAUCCACCUAGAGGAGCCUGUUCUAUAACCGAUAAUCCGCGUUCAACCUCACCACUUCUUGCUUAUCCACCGCCUAUAUACCGCCGUCGUCAGCUCACCCUAUGAAGGCACAGUAGUAAGCAAAAUGAUCUACCUCUUCAAUACGUCAGGUCGAGGUGUAGCGAAUGAAGUGGGAAGAAAUGGGCUACAUUCUCUCUUUCGAGUAAUACGAAUAGAAGAAUGAAAAUCUUCUUAAAGGCGGAUUUAGUAGUAAGUAAACUUUAGAACAUUAUACUGAAACCGGCUCUGGAGCGCGCACACACCGCCGAUUCACCCUACAAAAAAAGCCUGUCCCCAAAAAUUUUGGGGGGAAGCUAAAAUUAUCAUAAUGGGUGGGGGGGGGGGGAAAAAAAAAAAAAGUGUGUGGGGGGGGGGGGGGGGGGGGGGGGGGGUUUUUUUUUCUCUUUGUGUUUUUUUUUUUGGUUGGUUGGUG